CAAACCGAACCGGCGCGGAAACCGAGCAAGCCAAAACAAGCUCGAAUCCACGGAGAAGAAAGAAACAGUGCGUGAAUCGGAGCAAACGGAACUGGAACAGCAAGUUUGAGGUAUCUAAGCUUGAAUCCGACUAAGAGAUAAGGUAAUAGAAGCUUCUUUCACGUUUGUUUUUUUAUCUUUGUUUUUGUUUGUUGUUUCAAAAAUAAUUCGAAUCUUCAAGCUUAGAUCUAGCCCAAAUCUCUCUACCCUUUUAAAAAAUAACUUCAAAAUCGUGUUUAGAAGGAGAAAGAGAAGAGGAUUGUAAAAAAAAAAAAUUAAAAAAAAUAAAGUUUAGUUUUCCGAUGCGGUGGCUCCGCUGCCGGAAACCAGCCGGCCGCCGCGUCGGACCACCUUCCUCCUUCUUCUCCGACAAAGCUUUUAUAGAGAGAGGGGAGAGCAUUUUUGUGUUAUAAGUUUUUUUUUAGAGAGAGAAGUAAAUUAAGUUAUGUGUGUUUUGUGUGUGAAAUUGCUAUAUAUAUAUAUAUCCCCCUGAUGCCAUGCGCGCGCCACCGUAAUGUUCACAAUACUGCGUUGUUUUUAUGCCAUCAGAUCUGGAUUGUUCUAGGAUCUGAUGGCUACUGCGUGUUUUGAUCUGGAAUCAUGUGUGUGUUCUCCUGUGUGAAAUAUGGCGUAUUUUCUGUUUGAACCGUCAGAUCGUUGAUCUGACGGUCAUUGUGUUUCCUGUGUUAUUCCUCUGCUUUUGUGCUGUAUUUUUAAAACUGUUAGAUCUUAGAUCCUGUGGCUGUGAUGAGUAUUCCCUGUGAUUGGAUCUGGAUCCUCUGAUUAAUCAGACGGUCCCGAUUGGUCCAGUCUGAGCCCACUGUUUUUAAAAUUCACUACUGUUUUACUUUUGUCACCUUUGUUUUUACUUUUUGCACCUCUUUUACUUAAAAUUUCUCUAAAAAUUUACAAAAAGAUAUUUUACUUUGUGUUAAACAUUUAUUUACUGUUUUUUUUUUCAUUUAUUGUUAUAGUAUAUUUGAAUCAUCUCAUGCAUGUUUAAUUUUUGUCAUUUUAUCCUAUUGCUAUUCAUUUGCUCUUAGUGUGUAUAAAUAGGGGAUGGAUGUAAAUUUAUUUCUUGCAUUUUUAUUUCUGACUAUCAUAUUUCUCUUGAGACCAUAUAAUGUAUCUAGGAAUUGAUGUAAUAACACAACGCACCGACACACGCACCGACACCACCGCACUUUAUUUUCCGCUUUUAUUUUCUUUCAUGUUACGUCGUUGCGUUUAGUUUUUUAGCUAGCGUUUAGUUUAGAAAAAUUAUUUUCUCAAAAAAAUCAAAUAUGCAAAACUCCAAAAAUAUUUUCUUAAUAAACCUUGGUUUGUAACCCAAGUGUUUUUCUUUUUAUUUUCUUAAUCAAAUGCUUAAUUGAAUUAAUAUUCAUAAUAGACUUGAUUUCUUGUAAUUAAAAUUUGACCAACCUCACCUUAUUUUAUCUCAUGCCUUGAGGCUUCUUAUCCCUUCUUAAAACCAUUUUCUAAAAUUUAAAAUCAACCAACCCACCAAAAAAGAAACUUUUUAGGUGAACUACAUUGGUUUUGAUCCCUUUUCUUAAAGGGUAUGUAGGCAUGGGAUUUGUAUCCUUCCAAAUCAAAUAAAAAUAACCAAAAACAUACUUCUUCUCCCCCCAUUCUUUCACUUAGAUUUUUAGGUAAUUAAUUUUCAAAUAAGCAAUGAAUUUAGCACAAGAUAAAUUAGGUAAGAGGUUCCUAUGGAAUACCAUAGACGCUUAGGGUGCUAGCACCUUCUCUUCGCGUAACCAACCCCCGAAUCCAAAGUCCCGAUAAGGGUUUUUUACUCAUUUUUUCCCUUCCCACGAAUAAAAAUCGAGAGUUCAAAAAUUAACGAUUCAAAUCAAUUAAUGAUUUGAUAUCCGAAAAUCACGAGCACAGUCAUCAUUCGAUAAAAAAGUGUUUAUCAUAUUUGUAUGGAAAAUAUUGCAGACAACUCCUAUUUAGACUGCUAAGUUAUUGGGCUGGAAAUUAGAAAUCAAAGGUGCCUCCCAAAGUGAAGAAUUCAAUUUGGCUUAAAUGAUGAUGUUGUUUACCGAUGCGUGUAAGGAUAAAUGAUUGUCCAUUGUCCAUCUGUUUGUGUGAUAUGAACCGGUAACUGUGAGGAUGCAAGGUGUAUACUUCUCGAUUGUCCAAAUGCAGCUAAUGUUUGGCGAACAACGAGUUUUUGGCCUAUUAUAAAGAAGGAAAUGUAGUGAAAUUACACUAUAGAGACAAUUAUGUUUGCUUUAGUGCAGGUAAUGUAAAAAAUGCAGGUAAAGCAACUCGUUUCCAUCAUUUUGGAGCCUCUUAAAGAGUUGAAAUUUAUGUGUAUGUCAAGGCAUCAAACAAAUGAAACUUGCAGCCAUAUUUUGCAAUAGGCAAAACAUAUGUGUGCAAAUUGGCAGAUGAGGAAUAAUAUGACGGAGCAAAAAAGCACAUGCAAAUCACUCAAUGGUGCGCGCACAACAGCUUCCUGUACAGAAACGUUGGAGCAACAAGCGACACGUUGAAAACCAGCAACGGGACAACUCAAAUGCAAUAUAGACACGUCCUUCUUCACCACUUGGAAUUGUGUGGGGUUUUCGAUAUGUAUUCGUGAUGAUGAUGAUGAUGAUGGUGAUUAUGGGUGUUUUGUGCUUCCUAAAACCCUUUGGUCCGCUUUGAUUGUUCCACGGAAGUAGCCAAAGUGUUAGAUUUACAUGCAAAUAAUUGGAUGCAUGAUCUACAACUCACUAAUGUCGAUUUUGAUGUAAAUAAAGUUGUAGACUAGUACAACCAAGACCAAAACGACUUUACGAAAUUCGGUACUAUUUUAUAUGAAUACAAACGAUGUUGUAAUUUAUAUUUUGCAAACUCUCAUGUUGAGUUUACUCUGAGAGAAACGAAUGAGACAGCUAAUACCUUAGCUGGAGUGUCCCCAUUCUUAGGGAGUAUAUUUUUAUUGAUGUUCAACGAUAUAUCUUUGAAUUAAUAUUUAAUGAAAUGUUAUAAACUUUAUCCUUAAAAAAAAUAAAAAAAAUGUCGUACAUAGUAUUAAAACUCUUACGGGACCACAAUUAAAAUAUUACUAAAAACUUAACAUGAGAGUGUUUGAGAAUAUUGUGCUAGAGAAUGUGUUUUAAAUGGUUUUUUAUUUUUAUUUUUAAGUUUAAAGAGUACUUUGAAAUCUUAUAAAUCCAUAAAGUCAUUUCAAAUCCUAUGACAUCUUAUGAUGUAAAUCCUCUAAAAUCCCAAUUAUAAAUCUUAAUAGUCUUUUAAAAUCUUAAAAGUUAUUAAAAUCUUUCAAAGUCUUUUAAAAUUCACAGGACUUUUUUAUACAAAAAUUGUCUUUUAAAAUCCUAAUCCAAUACACCCCUUUAGUCUUGCAUCUUAUUAAGUUUGGAAUAAAAUUGAAACAUUAGAGAUUGGGACCACAAUUAAUAAUAAAAAAAAAUCUUUGAAUGUACUAUUUCUAAAAUAAAAUUUCUUGUUAGACUUCUUUGUUAUCAUUUCCCAUCAAAAUUGGGAUAGCAAAAUCAAUCAAGUCUUAUAAAAGAGAAUAAAAUUGAACUUCAAAAGUUAAUUAGUACAUUUCAAAUGUUUUUAUUAACUUUUUUUUUUCUCACAAUUAUAACAUUACAUAUCUUCCCCUCGAAAAAACAUUACAUGUCUAAUUAAUCUAUUUAUCUUAGAUAGUAAAUAAAAAAGUAAUGUCAAAAUGAACAAAAAGUUGUAAAAGUAAAAGAGAUUUAAAGGUACUAAUAUUCAAAGCACAUAGUGUUAAAAGUGUACAAAAAUUGAUCUUCUGUUUGGUUUGAUUCCAUUUGAAAAAAGAUAAAAUCCAAAGAUAAAUAGAUUAUUCAAAACAAUCGGAGCCAAUCCACUUGAAUCAGUUAAUUACCCCUCAAGAUAGCUAAAAAUAAAUUUCUUCUGCUAGGUAAAAUAAGUUACUCUAAUUCUACCCAAAAAAAAUGUUGCUCUAAAGUGAGUUUGAGCUCUAAAUAUAACUACUGUUCAUAUCAUUUGGUUUCUAAUAUAUUCAAGAUGUAUAUUAAACUAGAAUGAAUAACACAAUUGGCAAAAAAUAGCCAUAAAAGGGCAACUCGGUGCACUAAAGCUCCCGCAUAAGCAGGGUCCGUGAAGGGGUCCCACCAUCUGGUGUAUUGUACGCAACUAUCUUGUUUUUUACACAUGAGACUGUUUCCAUGACUUGGAACUCGUGACCUUUGAGACACAUGACAACAUCUUUAUGAGUUGCGCCAAGGUUACCUCUCUGGCAUAAAAUGGCCAUGAGAACAAAAUAUUUUUUAGAUGAAAUUUUUAUUUAGAUUGCAAAACUGAAAAACUCUUCCAAGUUCUAACACCCUAUUCCAAAUCCAGUUCAAAAAGUAGACUAUGUAUAUACACAACCUGAAAGCCAAGUACAAUUGACUUGUUGAGAUUACCAUCACUAUAAAAAACUAAAAACUAAAUCAAAAUGUCAUGCUAACAAAAAACCAAGCCUUAUUUCCUCAAAGGAAUAUUCAAUAUCUUGAAUCAAGUCACCUCCGAAAUGAGCCGGAGUCAUGGCUGUAUUCAUAGGAAUUGACACUGUCUUUGGUGUAGUAGUAGUGGUGGUGGAGACAGGAAUAGGAUUUUCUUUUGGAGUUCUAUUCUCUUCAUCGACCACUGCGUCUGUCUUUGAGAUAGUAGUAGUAGUAGUGAGUGGCAAAUUGUUAGCUGCUAAUGUUUUCUGCAAAUUCUGCUUCUGCAUACUAAAUUCAUCUGCAGCAUUUUCCACAUUCUCUAGUGAUGAUAUUGUUGAUGAGAUGGUAGUAAAAGGUUGUCGUGUCAAAGGAGAUUCGAUAUCCCGAACAAUUCCAGCACCAAAUGAGUAUUUUCUCGUAGGGAAAUCAGCAAUAUCAAAUCCUCUUCUAGCUGCAUGAACACAACGAAAACAAGCACUUGUAAGAGAUUUAAGUGCAUGCAAAUGAGAAACACAAAUAAAUUAUGGGAAAUCUACCAGCUGAGAUGUGGCUUUGACCUCCACCUCCAACAACAUCAAACAAAAAAAAUGCCUAAACCGUUCCAUGUUGCCACAUAGAGCCUUAUAAAAAACCCACCAUCAAGAGUACUUGGGAGAAUCCGGUGGAGAACCUUCGUCUAUAACAAAGGAAAACAUAAACAGGUAUCCAACAAUCUGAGGUUGUAUUUUAAAUGACAUGAGUUGAAGUAUCACUGUGGGAGAAUCUAUAAACAGGUAUUCAACAAUCAAUGGUUUUCGUUAGAUGGGAAUUUAACGUAUAACUACAUCGAUGGAGGUGCUUGGUGGAGACAAGAAAAAUACAUUUACAUUUUUCUUAGCAGGAUCUGUGCUUAGAUAACCUACCAGCCUACCGCAUCCAAAACAACCCCCUUAUCAAUUGAGUCAAAACUGAAGGCAACAAAGUCUUAAGAGAUUUGCAUUAUAAAUAACUGUUAAACCCUUACCAAGUGAAAAAUCUGCGAGCCGGAGAUGCAAAUGAAAAGCAAAACAAAAAGGGAGCAAAGCAUAUAAAAAGCUACCUGAUGAGAAACAUGAAAUGGCAUCGUCUAGGUUAUUUGUUUGCUCAAUUUGGUUUACUUUGUCAGUCUUCCUUGUGGAGCUUGAUUGAGUAGCUUUUGAAUCAGGUUUUAGCACUGAUCCUCCAAAGGUACCUCUUCUAUUAGCCGCACUUCCAUUUGGUGUCCUAGGCGCUUUUCUUGCACUCUGGGCCUUUGAAGGGCUUUUCGACCCAUACAGUACUUCCUGCUCUGCUAUCAUUUGUACCUGAAGUUUCUUCAAGUCCUGAAACAAGUCCGGAUAAAAGAAAAUAUACCAUUAUUUACUGGAAUCAUAGAUCAAUGACACGUUUCCUGGACUUCAAUAUUUUGAGACAAAACUCGAGGUUUUAUCAUUAACUAUAGGGCCUUACACACAAACUCGUAAAUCCCUAGUCACAUAGAAGCAACUUCAAGUAUCACGCUAAGGGUCUCCUUCUCAAGGUUUUCUUAUAACUAGAUAAUAACUUAUUUUGGAAAAACAUUUAAAUGCAAUGAGUGGUUCGUACCCGCUGUCUACGACGUUCUUGCUCCUUUUCUUGCCGUAAUAAGAUGUAGUCUUCAAGCAUAGAAACUAAACGGACCUAGAAAGCGACAUUCCAAUAAAAAUUAGUUUGACAUAGACAUGAGCAACCAAUAGAUGCUGAGGUGAUAUUGUAUGUAUCUCUAAGAGGGGUACUUACACCAUCAUAUACGAACUCGGUGCUUUUAUCCUUUUCCCAUGCUACUGCUUUUGAAGUCAAUUUGUCUGUCAUUGCUAUGGACAUGCAAAAGAAAAUUAAAAGACAUUCCGAACUAAUACAGAAACAUGUUAUCUGCAAACAUAAAACAUAAAGAAAAAGACAUUCUGAUAAAGAAAAGCAAAGCAGUGUUAGUAAUAAUAUCAUUGAGCAAUGGUGAUAUUAACCAAGACAAUAAAUACAACUUACAAUUAAGGUCUAAAAGUACCUGGAAUUUUGUUCACCAAGAUACGGGCUUUCUCUGCUCGCUUAAGAUUUAGAUGAGUACCUCUACCAGCAUUGUAACGGUUUUCAUCCUAGAAGAAACAAAUGUACAACAACAUUAGUAACCUGUGCGAUGAUAAAUAUGGCCUAUGGGAGUUGGGAUCCAUUUACGUUGUUCAAUAACAUAAACAUUGAAUUUCACCACCAAUCCAACCGUACAAAUACACCAUACAUUGUUUGUUAAUGAUAAGCAUCAAAACUUGAUGCAAUUUACUGAAACAAAGAUAUGAAAGAACAAUAAGAAGAAGAAAGAAAAAACUAACUCUGCUAUACUCCUCCAGCCAAGACUCUUCGUCACAUGCCGAUAACCACUUCUCAACAUUUUCAAGUAUUUCUAUUCUGCUAAAAGCUUCCUCUUUGACUUGGGAAAUCUGACGCUCAAUUUGUUCAAGCACAUAAGCAGGGUCUACAGAUCCUGCAUGAGAAAAGAAGAUGCAGGUUUAGGAGUUUAAAGAAGAAAGAAAGAAUGGCACUCAUCCAGUGGUAUCGCUCUUGGACAUUACCAGACUCAAUAGCCUUUUCGAUCGCAGCAUCAGAUUCUUGAACCAAAUGAGUCUUUCUACAAAUCUCCUCUAGCUCGGCUCUUUUUUUCCAAACAAGCUCUUUCAUUUUGCUUGAUUUUAAGUCCUCUAAUCUAGAUACUUCUGCCUCCACCUGCAUGAAAUUGUUACUUCUCAAGGAAUUUUCAACAACAUAAACAAUGAAAAUCGCUCAUUUUUUCUACAGUAGCUUAUAACUCACAUGAUUAAUGAACUCUUCAGACAAGGUGUUUGGUUCAGUUACUUCAUGUUCUGAAGCUGCGAUGUUACAUGUAACAUUCUGAAACACCUGUUGUUCUUCAAUCGGCGUAUCCAUCAAAUUCCAGAGCUCCAAUAAUGAUGUUGCUAGAUCUUGAAGCUGCCAGAUCAUAAUCAAUUUAUAAGUUUCAACCUGAGAAAACAAAAAUCAUGAAACGAAAUUAUAAAACGAAGUUAUGUUCCAUACCUUUUGCAUUCUCUGCAAUUUCACUCCUCUCAGUUCUUGUAUAGAUAAAGCCAAUUGGCUUAUGGUAUCGUUAUUUACACUCCUGGAUCCUUCCGAAUUUCCUAAACUAGGAUGGACUUCGCUAACUGUCUGCUUAAAGUCUAAACCAAGUACUGAACAGAGAGAACUUAAAGUGUGCAGAUUGUCUUGGACCUUCUUGAGACGAUCACUCUGCAUUAUUAAAAAUAAAAUAUCAUCACUCGGUAAUAAACAGCAAUAAAUAUGAUAUUUUGGGUUCAUAGAACAAUAAUACACACGCACAGAGAAAAAAGAAGAGAGAGUGGGAGAGGCAAGGAAUUAACCUUCUCCUUUUGAAGUGUAUGAAGUUGUCUGUGCAAUUCUUCAAGUUUCCUCAAUGACAAAUCGGUUUCAUCUACAACGAGUGGGACGUUUUCACUUGGACCAGAAAUCUCGUUUGAUAUACUGUGAAUCUGCUCUUGAACUUCUUUGAAUUGAUUUCUACGCUCAUACUUUCGUUUUUGCAUUUCCUCCAACUCCGGGAGAAUCAUUGCUAGCUCUUCCUUCAAGCUUCUAGCCUUUUGACCAGACUAUAAAAAUGAGAGACAUGAAUGAACAAAUAAUCUCGAUUGCAUAAUUCGACAGUAACAACGAACAGAACUAUAAACUUUGACAAAUUUGUGUAUAAGCUUCUAAUAAUGCUAGGAAUAUUAUAUCAUCAUUCCAAAUUAUUGUCACACAAAUAUGACAUUAAACACUGUUGUAUUAAACUUAAACUAUUUUCUCCGUCGAGCAGUAUAUAGAUACAUACAUGCCGUAAAACAGUAAUCAAGAAACUAGUAAUACAUAAAAUGUCGAACCUGUCUACUAUGUACAGGUCGCUCUCCCAUUUCUGAACAGAUAGCUGUAAGUUCUGCCUCGGAAUCAGCAAUUUCUUGCCUAAGUUGAGCUCUAGAGCAAUUUGCUUUAUCUACCUUUCUUCUGUAUACUUCUAGACACUCUUGUUCAAGCUCAUACAACAUCCUAUCUUUUUCAGACUCAGACUCACCAACUUCAUGCCAUAUUAUCUAGUUUUGAAAAAUAAACGAAGACAAACGAUAAGAAUUUCUCCGAAGUUUACCAGAUAUUCAUUGAAAUUGCAGAGAAAGUUGGUUUGUACCUGAAGUUCUUGAAGAAGUGAUCCACAUGUUGUUUCAGCUUGCGGAAGAGGAUGAUCAUUAUGAGGUUUAUGCAUUUUGGAGCACCUUUAUCAACUUAAAAAUAAAAUUCUUUUAGAACAUUCCUCGUUAAAACAAUCAAAGAAAGUGAAUAGAACUUGAUGCAUCUCAUAUAUAGUAAUAACUCAAUCAAAGGACCAUUUUUUGUUGAAGUAAAAAAUCGAUAGAAUUAAAGCAUUCGACUAAACAAAGACACAGUACUCACAAGCAAAAACCAACUCCAACAAAAACAAUUCAUUCAAAAUUCAACAUAACUCCUAGUUAAGGUGAGUUGGUCCUGAUAGCGCAUCAGGGUGACAGAAAAGCUCCGAGAUUCAAAGAACACUUACAAAAGAAUUUAUAUAUUUCACAGCAACAAAGUCCUCACAAGUCAAAACGGAAUUGAGAUUAAAACCCAUAUCCUUGUGAGAUAUUAACCAAACCUUUUCCAACAAGACCAACCUUUGUUUGUUGAAAUUUGAAAUUUGUAAUGAUCUAUGAAGCACUGACAUAGACAUCGACACCUGACAUGAUACUAACACCGGUAAAAAAAAUUAAUUAUUUCAAUGAACGUGAUCACAUGUGUCGCGUUGGGGUGUCUGGACAUGCCUUCCACUAAAAGUGUCGGUGCUACCUAAUAACCGGUGCAAGACCAUUUUUCCUAAUCCAAUGAAAAAACUAAUAAAAAUAACCAAACUCAGAGAAAAUUAAAAUUAAACCCAAAAAUUCAUUCAUUCAUAACUAAGCAUCAUCAAAAUUUCACACGUUUCAAAACAAUGUAAAAAGAAAAUUAAAAAAAAAACUGUAGCCAAAUGCAUGCAGAAUAUGAACAUAAACAACAAGAAACCUAAACACAAACAAAAUGAAGAACACAGAAACUACAUUAUGAAUAUAUAUGCUAAAUUUACGACGAUAUUCUUUCUUUUUCUUCUAUGAACGAAUGCUUUGAACCUGAAAUAGAAACUUUUGUGUAACAGUUUUUGGUUACAUUGGUCAUAAACGAAAAAAGAAGAAAAGAUGAGAAUGUUACCAAGUUUAGUGAUGAAAAAGGAAUUGAAUGGCUUUCUUUUUUCUCAAGAAAAUGAAAAUGGGGUUUUCCAGGAAAAUGCAGGUUUGUGAAUUUGAGAGAGAGAGAGAGAGAGAGAGAGAGAGAGAAAGUUUCUUUGUUUGGACGGAAGAGAGAAGAGAGGGAGACGUUUUAAGAAAUGGAAUGCAAACCGUUGAAGAACUCUUGAAAAGCACUAUGGGUUUUUGGAUAGUUUUUUUAUAUUUAGGGGAUUUUUAUUUUGAUUUUUUUAGAUAAUAUUUCAAGGUAUUACAUGUAUCUAAAGAUUCUAAAGUGUUUUUUGCCGGCUUGUAUCUAAAAAGUUUUCAUGUUAAAAUUAAUAAACAUGAUAAUACCGGUUGGUAUAUUUAUCACACAUAAAAAAAACCAGUUAAUUUGGAAAUUAAUUAAUACUACAUAAAAUAAUUAAAGCAAAAAUAAUCAAGGAUGGUGGGACCCACUUAAUGGUAGAAUCCGCUAUCCAUCUUAUGUGUCUAUCUCUCUCUCCGAAUUGUGUACUUUCAUUCAAUUUAUCAAAUGGAGAGGAAUAUGCUAACCCUUUUUUAUCAUGUGCAAAUUUGCACAUGUUAACAAGUUUAACAUAGUAACUUUCUUUUGGAACUUGUACAUUUUAUAUUAAAUACAUAACUUUUUAAUAAAUAAUUUGUUAUGAAUAUACUCCCUCCGUUUUAAAAUGAGUGUCGUUUUAGGUGUUGGGACACAUAUUAAGAAAUGGAAUGAAAUAAUCAUUAGAUAUAACAUUUUUACUGAAUUGCCCUUUACUUUAUAAGAAAAAAACAAAUUUAAAGUUGCAUUGAAAAUUGUGAGAGAAAGGUUGGAGUAUAUAUUGAGGGUAAAGUUGGAAGAAAAAAAUGAAAGUUGCAUUGAAAAUGUAAAGUAACAUUCAUUUUGAAACAGUUUUUUUUUGCUAAAGUGACACUCAUUUUGAAACAGAGGGAGUAUCUCUUAGGGAGUAUCUAUAGUCCUGGAAACAAUCUUAUUGGUUUUGUAACGAAGAGUAUAAGGUUUUGUCACCUGUCCAACAAUUUCUCCAUUAGGGAGGAUUUAUUUGCCCAAUCACUUAUUUAUUCAGGAGAAAUUGAUCCAACUCGAAGGUGUUGAUCUUUAUACUGAUCAAUCAUAGAAUAAAAUUUCUGAUUCAGUCCAAUUAAACUUCCUUCCUUUGAAUUUGGAAGUCUUUCUCAGAUACAAGGAAAUGAUUCAGUUCAAAGAUUGUAGUUCUCGAACGAGCAAUCAAAAAGAUUCUGGAGCAUCCACAAGUUUAGGUAUUGUUCCUCCAAUAAUCGUAGUUCUGAGUACUUCUUGACGCACUUUAAAAUAUGAUCAGAUUUAUAAGUCAACAUCUCUUGUAAAAUAUGAGCAACACCAAACCCCUCGAGCGCCCAAACCUCCAUUUUGCCUACCAGUUGUCCUCCUUGUUUCACCCUUCCUUUAAGGGGUUGUUGUGUAACAAGUGCAUAAUGUCCACUGAAACGUCCAUGUAUUUUAUCAUCAACUUGAUGAAUCCACAACACAAUUAUUUUCAGUCCAUUCUCUUUCAAUUAUGAAAACCACUAACAACACAUAAAAGCAUGAGCAUAAAAAAAUUUAAUUGAACUCUCGUUGAAAAUGAACGAACCUUAAAGAUUAUCAAAAUACUCCACAAAAUAAACCUAUAGAGAUUGUUUAAAAUAUAAUUUUUUAGCGUUAGAAUGUAUGUGUUCAUUUGCGAUACAUUUAGAUUUUCUAAUAUCAAUGUUUAUAGUUUCUUUGUGAUUCACACUUAUUUAUUGGUUUAUCUUUAUUCUCUAUUGAAAAUAAAAUUUUAAAUGAAAUCACUUAUGAUAAUUUUAUAAACAAUUUUGCAUCUCAAAAACAUGAAAAAUAUAAAUUACAUAAAAAAAUAAAAAAAUAAAAUUUUAAAAAGACUCAUUAUUAGAGUUUGUUUCAGGCCUUAAUAUUGGUUGAGACGACCUUGAAUAUGAUUAAUUUAAAACUUUUUUAUUUUUAUUUUUUUAACUAUAUGAAACAUCGUUUAGAUGGAGACAAAAUCAGAUAGAAUAAAAACAAAUAAAUAUACUUUAGUUUUCCAAAUUUGUUGAAUCUUAUUCUCCCUUUUUGUGUAAAAAUAACACAAAAAAGUAUGAUUGCAGUUAUAGAGGAAAAAUAAGUGGGAUAUACUUUAGUUCUUACCUCCUCUUCAAUACAAAAUAUCUUUUUUAUGUUGACUUAGAUGUAAAAAAAUGUGUCUAUAACAACAUAAUAAUUUCGCAAAUGUUCUCUUUUUGAAGUGUUGAAUUAAAUUUUAUUCUUUUUUAUGUGGCAGCCAAUUAGAAAAAAGUGACAUGAUCCCUCACAGAAAAAGGGACAAACUAGUUCUUCUAUUGACAUGUGUAACGUUUUAAUCUAACAUGUCCAUUCAAGCAACUACUUUAGUCCCUAUCAAACAUUGAAAAAAGAAGGAAAAAAAAAAGACAUGUUCGAUCCUUCACAAAUACUGUAAAAACAUGUUUGGCCCCUAACAUGAAGAAUGGAGCAUCAACAUCACAAGACCUACGACAUAAGAUUUUUAGAGUUAUAUGUUAUGAUUGUUGGGCAUUGUUGAAACUAAAAAUUGUAAUUUGUGAGAUAUAUUACCCAUGAUAAAUAUUACGACGAUUACAAAUUACGAUUUUUAUUACCUAAAGUUCAACCAUGAGGUAACUACAACUUAACCAAAAAUUAUUCCACAAGAAUCGAACUUAGGAUCGGCCGAAAUGUCUAUAUAGAGUUGAAUCUUGUAAUCUAGACUAUGAAAAACAUCAUCAUAAUGCUCCUGUUACAAUAAUAGUUUGGCUUAAACUAUAUCAGGAGGAUGCGAUAUAUUCGCGUACUACAUAAUCCGGUAAUUAUGAUUUACGAUCUCUUUAGCACAAUUUUUUCUAAGAAAACAAACAAACACACACCACAGUUUUGGAGAUUCUGCGUUCCCAUCGAUUAGAAUGUUGGCAUUCCAAUUUCAAAACACAGGCUUCAAAAUCUCAAUGCAUCUUACAUAUGAGUGUAGAGAUGCUUGCAUACCAACAAUCCAUUAAUCUUCCAUCUUCAUUACUGCAAGAACUGUUAGAAGCAUGUUUACAAAUUAUCAGCUACCAGAAAAAUCCAUGCUUAUAAUCAGAGGAGAAAAUUGAACACCAAAAAUAACAAUACCAAGUUUCUAUUAAAGUAUGUUUAUCAUCAUAAAAAUAAAAAUCUCUGAGAAUGAUAAACUUUUAUCACAUGCUAUGCAUGGUGAUUUAAUGACUUAAGCCUAAUCGGAUUAAAUUCCAGCUUAUGGGAGUUUCUCAUUAAAUGUUUAUGCUUAUUUACUUACAAUUUCGAAUAAGUCCGUUUAAGUACUUACAAUUUCGAACAAGUCCGUUUAAGGUUAGAUAUGUUUUUGGAGAAGCUAAAUGAAAAAGUUUCCGAAAAAAUUCAGAUGUAGAAGUUAAUUUCAACUCAUAUGAUAAGCUAUUGUUCAAAAUGUCAUGGCUAUUUUAAUAUUCUUUCAAUAGUACACAAUUCAAGGCUAUAUAUAUAUAUUUAAAAACUGAUAUGAGUUUAUAUUGGACAAACAAAUCUUCAGAAUCAUGAACAGAUUUCACCUGAUUAGGCAUGCAGAAGAUCUUGAAAAUUGAGGAAUGUGCUAACCAUAGUUCUAAAUUCUGAUCUACAACUAUAACUGAGGCUGCAACAUAAAUUAUUUUUUAGAGGUGUCUGUAACGGCAUCACAACCAAAAUUGCAUCCGCAUUUUUCAGCAGGGGACCACAAUUUAGAACCAUGGAGCUGACAACUUAUCAUACGAAUCUUUUAAAACUAAUUAAAUGCUCUAUAAUAUGGUUCUAUCAGAAGGUAAAUUGACUAGUCUACCCUUCCUCAGACAGGUGCGUUGAUGCAUAAGUCGCCCUCUUGAGCUUAGAAGAUGAAUGCAGCUUGGCUGUUAAGGAAAAAAAAUCUCAUGAUGUGUUAUCACUAUCGUAUUCUCUCUUAAUGAUUUCAAAUACAAUCUCAUUCCAAGCAUCUACAGGUCCCGGCAUGCACCAGUGCAAGCAAUCCUGUGGUGGUGGCCUUCCAUUUCGGCCUCGUUUCGUAAUUUUGUUAGGAUCAGUACUCCUAUAUGGACCAGGAUGACCAUCAUGCCGGUAUUGAAACGCUUCAGUAAUAUCCAUCAAUACCAUCUUCGAUCUAUCUGUCUCCUUUUUUGCCGCACGGUUAAAACCUGUAACCUGUUGCUCAUACAUCGAAGCGAGAUACUUAUUUUCCACCAAUUCACCGGGUGCAAGAGGUUUAACUUUCCCAGUGCAUGAUCCACCGGUAUUCCAUCCUCCACCCUCAUAAUGAUCGGGCGAAUAGGAACGCAAAAUUGUAAGUCCGGUAUAAUUUGGAUGCUUAACAAGAGCAGUAAGAAUUGUUUCAACAGAUAUACCAAAUGCUUCGACGCUGUUGAUCUUCGCACGCCGAGACUUGUCCGGCCACCACAAUUGUCCUCCAACUAUCUCAUUGUUCAAGAUGUAUACUGAUUGUUUAGUAAACCAAUGACCAGAUGAAAGAACAACCACAUCAAAUGUUGGGAGAAAUUCCAUGAACAUCUCAUCAGGGGAUUCGAGAUAGAUUUUCUCCACACCAGCUGGAGCAAAGUCGAAUGGUUCUGAAUUGUGUUUGACAAGCCAUGAUGACCAUAUCCGAACAAUCGUUACAGAUGUUGACUCAAAAUAAUACCGUUGCAUCUUGCGAGUUCCCUGAUUUUUUGGUUCCUCUACCUGAAAUAUCGUUAGCAAUUAAGUAUUUAAUUUCUACGAAGCACCGCCAUGAACACCAGAUACUAGACACGACACUGACACCGACACGUAUGGGACCAUUCUAUUACUUAUGCAAAUAAAAUUAGUAUGGAAUAAAAAUAACCUGCCAAAGAAUACACAUCAUGGACUCCAUCUGGUUUCGAGCCACAGAAUCUCCAAUGAAAGCCAACGUCUUGCCUCUCAUAAGAUCCAAAAACUUCCUCGGAUCAAAUCGCGGGAUGUCACACUGAAAAGGCUUCCAUCGCCAGUUCUCAUAAUCCUUAUCAGGCCUCCCAUUACCCUGACAAUUCUGCGUCUGUGUCAAUACAGGGCACGACUUGUUUGUGUAUAACGGUCCCGAUGAAUCAUAUAUCCAAUUUCCAUGGUACAGAUCACAACCUACUUGACAAUAAAAACAACCAUUCAUAAAACUGAGAAGAUAUAAAAACUUGGAGAGUGAUUACAAGAAAAUGAAUGGAAAGAAUUGUCCAUUGUUGAAAUUCUUACUUAACAGAUACAAACACUAACGAUUACGGCUGUAUUGUAUUUCCAAAAUAGAACAAAGCAAAUCAAAGUAUCAAACUAACAUUACCUUUCAUAAUUGAGGAAUUGGUACUAGCCAUUGGAAUAGGUUCUUUUGGAGCCGAAUCAGAAGUUUCUAACGCACUCGCCUCCUUAGUUACUGGAACAAUUUUUGGCGAAGCAGAUUCACUCAAGGGUAGUUGUGAAUUUGAAUUGGUAUCAAUUUGUUCUAUCUUGCUACUAUUAUCACUUAACACACCACUGGAAACUAUGGAAGGUUGCAGAUCAAUGACUGUUUUAUUAUCUACUAAAUCUAAACUUGAAUUCUUGUGAAGAUCAACAGAAGUUGUAUUGAUUUUCUGAGAGACUGAUAAACCAGAAGUUUGUGAACUCUCUACACCAUUGAAAUAACCAUGAACAGUUGAACCAAUAGGGUAUGAUAGAAAAAACCAUGAAGCAAAAGUUAUGAAUACUGCUACUACUCCAAUUGAAAAUAUAAUCCGCGAAAGUGGUUUCAGAUUUGAAGAACCAUUCGGAGAUGCAACCCUCCAAAUCACACCUUUCAUUUAACCCUAUUAGUUUCAAAUUUCACACUAAACUAAACCCUGAAGAACAUGAAAACUUUCUAAAAUAUAGAAACAAUCCACUCCACAGCUUUAUACAAUAUAAGCUUGCAACAUAUGUAGCACUGACACUUCAAAUCGAAGGUGUGUCCAACUCUGUCAGUGUCUGACACAAACACGAUACUAUCACAUGUAGUAUCUUCUGAGUUCUGAAUACUUACAAUCACUUUUAUUUCUCAAAUUAUUGCCAGCGUCCCUGUCGUAUCUGGUGUUUGUGUGCUUGAUAAGCUUGAAACAAUGAAUAGUUCAGUUGUACCAAUAUCAAAUUACAAUCAAUCACCAUAUACAAACCUGCAAUACCCACCAAAAUAGAUAAAACAAUUAAUCAAAGGGUGAAUGAAUAUGAUGGAUAAACUAUAUGAACAAUAAAGCAAAAAGACUCAUACUUGAACUUUGAAACAAAAUUAAAAACUCAUAAGGAAACAAAAUUAAAAAAUCAUAAAGAAACAAAAUUUAGCUUCAAGGUUAAAACCCCAUUAGGAAAAAACACUUUUUUCAAAUAAAAUCGAAAUACCCAGAAAGAAAGAAAAAAAGAAAAAAAAAAGUAAUAUUAACUUGUGUAACCCUGACACUUCAGAUCAAAGACAUAUUCAACACGUGUCAGUGUCCUUGUCGCAUCCCUAUCAUAUCAAUGAUUCAUAUCUUGAAACAAAGUAAUUGAGUUGUAACAUAUCAUAUUACCAUCAAUCACUAAAUACAGUUCUGCUAUAUCUACCAAAACAGAUAAAACAAAUAAUCAAAAAGUGAGUGAAAAUGACCCUAAAUUAUAUGAUAUCAACAUCUCAAAUAUAUCAGAGAAAUUCACAGAUCAUAAGUUACAAAAAAAAUUUGAGAGAAAGUUACAAAAUUUAGCUUCAAGAUUCAAACCCCACCAGGAAAAAACAAUUUUUUCAAACAAAUAUUUAACCAAUUUGGGUCAUUCAAUGAAUUCAUCAAUUAACAUAAUAUUUAAAAGAAAAUAAAAUAAAAUAAACCACCUAGAUGUUGACAAGCUCUGACUAGAAAGGGUCUUCAUUUUUAGUGUCAAAUGAGUAUCAAAUGCAAAUACUCAUGUUCGAGUCAGAUAUGUAACUGACUGAGCACAACCGUAAAUACUAAUCUCUCGAGUCAGACAAGACUGUAAUGACGGCAAAGCUCUACCUCGUGACAGUGUACUAAGCUUUCAAGAAAGUGAAUGUGUAUACAGACUUUAAGAAGUAUCAAUGAGGAAUUUGAAUGAAAUUUAUGAUGCAUCAUGUGGCAGGGAGCAAGAUUUGUUAUACAGUAACUCUCACUGACACACUCUUCAAUUAUACAUUCUUUAUUCUUCUUUCUUCACUCAGCAGAAAUGUGCACGUGAGAGAGUGUGUGGGUGAAGUUAUUACUGGGGUUCAUUGAAAUAGUUUUUAGUCAAAUUUAAACUAUCUUCGAACCGAACUCUGAAUUACUGGGGUCUAUUUUCCUAAAUACUAAAGUGUUUAUACCAUAAAAUACAACUAGACUAAAUAAUUGUUGCAAUAUGAAAAAUAAGUUUAAGUACACUUUUGUUCCAUUAUAAAACAUAUAUGUUGGUCCUCAAUUUUAAAAACUGACAUUUGAUCCCCCAAUGUAAUUUUUUGUGUUUUGGUCCCUUGUAUCAUUUUGGAUCAUUUUUAUCAUGUGAUAUGUUCAUUUAGGCAAAAUUACUCCAAUGAUUUCCUAUCUUAUUUAAGUUGGUCCUCCAUAAAAACUGACAUUUGAUCCCCCAAUGUAACCUUUUUUUUUUGUUUUGGUCCCUUGUAUCAUUUUGGGUCAAUUUUAUCAUGUGAUAUGUUCAUUUAGACAAGAUUACUCUAAUGAUUUCCUAUCUUAUUUAAGUUAGUCCUCGAUUUUAAAAACUGACAUUUGAUCCCCAAUGAAACUUUUUUUUUGUUUUGGUCCCUUGUAUCAUUUUGAGCCAUUUUUAUCAUGUGAUAUGUUUAUUUAGGCAAGAUUACUCCAAUGAUUUCCUAUCUUAAUUAAGUUGGUCCUCGAUUUUAAAAACUGACAUUUGAUCCCCCAAUGUAACCUUUUUUUUUUUGUUUUGGUCCCUUGUGUCAUUUUGGGUCAUUUUUAUCAUGUGAUAUGUUCAUUUAGGCAAGAUUACUCCAAUGAUUUCCUAUCUUAUUUAAGUUGGUCCUCCAUUUUAAAAACUGACAUUUGAUCCCCCAAUGUAACCUUUUUUUUUUUGUUUUGGUCCCUUGUAUCAUUUUGGGUCAUUUUUAUCAUGUGAUAUGUUCAUUUAGGCAAGAUUACUCCAAUGAUUUCCUAUCUUAUUUAAGUUGGUCCUCCAUUUUAAAAACUGACAUUUGAUCCCCCAAUGUAACCUUUUUUUUUUUGUUUUGGUCCCUUGUAUCAUUUUGGGUCAUUUUUAUCAUGUGAUAUGUUCAUUUAGGCAAGAUUACUCCAAUGAUUUCCUAUCUUAUUUAAGUUGGUCCUCCAUUUUAAAAACUGACAUUUGAUCCCCCAAUGUAACCUUUUUUUUUUUGUUUUGGUCCCUUGUAUCAUUUUGGGUCAUUUUUAUCAUGUGAUAUGUUCAUUUAGGCAAGAUUACUCCAAUGAUUUCCUAUCUUAUUUAAGUUGGUCCUCCAUUUUAAAAACUGACAUUUGAUCCCCCAAUGUAACCUUUUUUUUUUUGUUUUGGUCCCUUGUAUCAUUUUGGGUCAUUUUUAUCAUGUGAUAUGUUCAUUUAGGCAAGAUUACUCCAAUGAUUUCCUAUCUUAUUUAAGUUGGUCCUCCAUUUUAAAAACUGACAUUUGAUCCCCCAAUGUAACCUUUUUUUUUUUGUUUUGGUCCCUUGUAUCAUUUUGGGUCAUUUUUAUCAUGUGAUAUGUUCAUUUAGGCAAGAUUACUCCAAUGAUUUCCUAUCUUAUUUAAGUUGGUCCUCCAUUUUAAAAACUGACAUUUGAUCCCCCAAUGUAACCUUUUUUUUUUUGUUUUGGUCCCUUGUAUCAUUUUGGGUCAUUUUUAUCAUGUGAUAUGUUCAUUUAGGCAAGAUUACUCCAAUGAUUUCCUAUCUUAUUUAAGUUGGUCCUCCAUUUUAAAAACUGACAUUUGAUCCCCCAAUGUAACCUUUUUUUUUUUGUUUUGGUCCCUUGUAUCAUUUUGGGUCAUUUUUAUCAUGUGAUAUGUUCAUUUAGGCAAGAUUACUCCAAUGAUUUCCUAUCUUAUUUAAGUUGGUCCUCCAUUUUAAAAACUGACAUUUGAUCCUCCAAUGUAACCUUUUUUUUUUGUUUUGGUCCCUUGUAUCAUUUUGGGUCAUUUUUAUCAUGUGAUAUGUUCAUUUAGGCAAGAUUACUCCAAUGAUUUCCUAUCUUAUUUAAGUUGGUCCUCCAUUUUAAAAACUGACAUUUGAUCCUCCAAUGUAACCUUUUUUUUUUGUUUUGGUCCCUUGUAUCAUUUUGGGUCAUUUUUAUCAUGUGAUAUGUUCAUUUAGGCAAGAUUACUCCAAUGAUUUCCUAUCUUAUUUAAUUGUAUCAUAUCCAUCUUUUAUCUUCUUUUUUUAACAUAGGUCCUUUAUCUUUAUAAAAGCACACAAGUUUUUUUUUAAACAACAUAAAAGCACACGAAUUAAUUUUUUUCUUACAAUUUUUAUUUAAAAAAAAAUUGAUGAGGUGUCAAUCCACGUAGGAUAAUUUACUUUUUAAAAUGUCAAAUGCACCUUUAGCCCUUUAACUUUGAAAAAUUACAAUUUACCCCUCCCAGAAAAAUAGUUGUUUUGACCCCUUAACUUUACAAACGUUGCAAAAUGCAAAAAAUAGUAAUUUAACUCUCUAUCUUAUAAAAAAUAAAAAACACUUUUGGCCCCUAGUUUUAUAAAAAUAAAAAUAAAAAAGUAAUUUUGUCCCCUGUUUUGAAACACGUGGUGUAUUCUUAGUAGUCUUGUGACAUUUUGUAAAUUGUCCGGGGGGAUAAAAUCACAAUUUUUUAAAAGUUAAGGGGUCAAAAGUGCACUGAAUACUUUUUUUAAUAUUAAAAAGCUUGAAUGCACUUUUGAUCCCUCUAUUUUAAUUGCACGAUAUGAGUAGUUAUUUGAUUGUAGGAAAAUAACAAAGGUUCAUUUAAAUGUUUCGAGGCAAUUCGAAUCCUUUCUAUGUUUUUUCUUGGAUUACCACAAGUUCAAUAUUGAUUAUGACCUAAGAACUGUAUAAUCGAUGGCUUUUAUUAUCAAUUCGUCAUGUACCUAUAGAGUUUCAUAUAGUAAUCGUGCCUAAACGAGGUGGACUUAAGCAAGUUUGAAAAGGAUGAAUAGUAAUCUAACUAUCAUACUUUAAAUCCCUAAUUAAUUAAAUACGAAUAUGAAAAGUUCAUAUUGCUCUUCUUCGGGUUAAGGCAAGGCUGUCAUUCUUACAACUUAACCUAGAGCGCAUACAUAGAUAUCUAGGGUUGUUAGACCUAAGGUUUAAAAGCAUUAUAAUGAUCGAAACAAUUGAAAGUUAAAUAAGACUUAGAUUAUAACUGAAUAUAGAAAUUGCAGUAAUUUGAUCCAAAAAAUAAAUAAUUGUUCAUCUUAGAACCCUAAUCAUAGAGUGCUUAGUAAAUCAUGGCAGCUGAAUACAAAAGCAAAGAAGAAAUACAAAACAUACUUGAAACAAAGAAAGGAUGGGACUCGUCUUGCUUCUCCUUGAUGCUUGCAUUCACUUUACACUGCUAGAUUUAUGAAUGAAUAAUAGUGUGUGAAAAGCUCUAUAUUUAUAGGAAUAAUUCAAUAUGGGUUCGCAUAAAAAUUAUGGGUUGUUUCCACUGAUCCAACUUGAAAAAUAAGUAAAAGGCAGAUUUUAUCCAGAGUGAUGCACUGGGACGUAUGACAGGCGCCUGCUUGGGUGCAUGGGGAAGGGAAAUACUUCUUUAUGACAGUGUCAUGCACCUGGGCGCAUGGCCUCGUCAGAUGUGCCGAAAAUGUCGUCUAUCUUCGUUCUUUGUGUGUUUUCCUUCCAUGUUAUGUUCUUAGGAGUUGGGACAUAAUUUUACCGCCUUUCAAUGUCUUCAAAAUAUUCUCAAGCUCCAUUGUUCUUUAUUAUCUUGCUUCCAUAACUCCAUGAGAUGUCAUGAUUUUUUUAGUUACAUGAUUUAUCAAUAAAAAGACUCAAAACACUUAUGAAGUUGUCGGUUUUGUGAAGAAAUAGAAUUACAAAGACUCAAAUGAAAACAAUACAAAAUGUCUCUUUAAACAUGAGAAACUCCUCUAAAAAAUCUCUAAAAUAACUUUAGCUACUAAAUAAAUAUUUGGAAAACAUAGCUAAAAUAUCAUCAGAUGAGUUGUCAACCACACACUUAAAUUGUUGCUUGUCCUCAGGUAACAAAAUGGCAAGAAGUUUUUUUUUUUUUUUUUUGACAAAAACAAAAUGAUAUUCAUUCAUUCAAAUCGAGAGAUUACAUCAUUCAACGCCGCUAAAAACGUAAAGGAUGAAUCUACGAACAAACUCACAACAUCCAAGUUAAUAGCAUAUAACGGCAUAAUGCCUACAAAAAUAUAUGAUAAAAUUUAAAGUGACCAGAAUAUCCAUGGCCUCCGGAUCUGCAACAUUGACGCCCAAAUCGUUGAUUGGAUUAUCGAUCUUUCAAUAUGAAUCAAAUGAACACCGCAAAAAGAUGGGAAAUCAAACAACGCCGCACAAGACGACGAACAACAAACCACCACACUUAGAUGAUGAAAUCAAAAAGAAAAAACCUAGAUCUAUGUGAAAAUCACUUAUUUAGAUUGAAAUAGAGAGAAAACGAUGAAGAUGGGUGAUUUCAGGUCAAGAAUUGACCCAAAACCACCCCUCAAUGAAGAAACUAGAAGAAAAAACCUAGAGAGAGAAAACUAGGGUCGGCUUGUUGGAUAGGGAGGAGAAGAGAAAGAAAAAAAAAAAGACAAAUACUUUAAUCGGCAAGAAGUUAGUAUUUGCUCAAAUUUUUAAAUGACAUAACUUUCUGGAAUGAAUUCUCAUAUUAUUAUUCGUUCCAUUUUUUACUUUAAUUUGUCCAACUUACCACUUUCUCUCAAGUGGGACAAAAACUUCAAGAAGAUAAUCAUAAAGUAAAAGUUGGUCUGCAUUGUAACCCUUUAAAUUUUUGUCUUCUUAUCAAUCUUAAUAAUCACAAGAAUAUAGAAAUAAUAUAAUCACAAGAAAUGAGGCUUUGAAUCGUGACCCUUAAAAAUUUUGGCUGCUUCUCAACCUUGAGAAGAUGUUCAGAACUGAUGACAUGAAGUAUGUAUCAAAAUGAAUUUGAUACAAGAACAAAUUGGAUGAUUGAACUUGCUUUUGAAUUAUCAAAUAAAGAAGUUCAGGGAUAGAGAAGAUGACACAAUGAAGUUAUAUUGCUUCAACCUAAGCCAGCUAGUCCAGUCCCCACAAUCUGUGAGAUUUCCUAAUAUAGUGCCUGAGAUGCCUUGUCAAAUUCGACACACUUUCUAUUCUUUUCUUUUCUACAUGACUUUACAAGUUUGGACAACUUCUUCAGACUCUAGCUACCACUAAAUCCACUUUUAUACUCUAAAGUGAAUUAGUGGAGCUUUACACUGAUUGCACAAUUGUUUUCUGAUCUUGAUCUAACAAUGAUCAAUUUGAUCUCACAUUGAUCUUUUUCUCUAAGUUCAACUUGAUCACCAAAAGGUGAAUAUGAACUUUUCUAUUUAAGUUCAAUAUGAUAAAAAAAGGAGAUCUUAAAUAAAUAUAUCCGAAAUCUACAAGCAACACCACUAAGGGAUAGAGAAAGGAGACUAACAAUAGAAAAUGAAUCAAUGAUGCGCUUAAUCUUGUCGCCCAACCACUUCCAAAGAUCCAAAGCAAAUUGGCAAUGAGGAAUAUGAUAUCUGAAGUCUCCACAUCGUCCAUGCAAAGAACUCAAAAGGAGACCACAAUGUAACCUAUAAAACGUAAAUUCUCGUCGUAGGCAUUUUGCCAUGCAUAGCCUCCAAAACACAAAACAAUGAGACAAAUCAAAAUCGAAGCGGCCCAAUCUACAGGCGCAUGCAAAGGAUGUAAAAACCGAAUAGUUCCUUAUUCUGUAACUAUUGAAUAUUUGUUAAAUAUACAUGUCAAUCAAUUUAAUCCAAAAAAAUAUCAAAAUUUUAUUAUUGUAACCAACUAUUUAUUUUUGUUUAAACCUAGUAUCCUUCGUGUACAACUAGGAAGACCAAUACCUCAAUCCUUGUGGAACUCAAAUGAUAAAAUAUAUUUUUCACUUUAAAUCAUUAAUCCUAUGGAUUAAUUUUAAUGUAAAUUAUUUCCUUUCAUUAUUUUAUCAAAUCUUCAAUGAUAUUUUUACCUAAAAAUAUUCAUUCAUUUUGCAUUUUCUAAAAUCAUAUUAUCAGUUGUUUUCCUUUCACUUAUUGAACUACAACAAUGAUAUAUUUUAAUAACUAUGUUUAUAGAGGAUUGCUUUUUUGCCCCCCCCCCCCCCCCCCAAUAUCUCUUUAGCCCCUUAAAAAUACAAAAUUAACCUUUAUAAUUAAAAAUCAGAGCCUUCGGUGCAUAAAAUCCAGUAGUUCAAUUUAAUUUUUCACAUUUUGCACCUCCGGAAUAUAACUACCGGAUACACAUUUUGGAAUUUCCACAUUUAACACAUACGGUAGUUAAAAAUAUAAGCCACUGAAUAAUUUCCACAUUUAACACACCGCGACAACCACAAUCUGUCACGCAACAUUUGUAACAGUCGAAAUCGUGAAAUCCUAUACAUGACUGUGGCUGUUAUUUAAAACCUUCGUCAUCAUAAAAUAGGUGACAAUAAGACAACCUCCCAUCCCUUCCAGCAGGUCCUAUCUCCUACAAUGCCCAUUCUAUUUAAUAAGAAAACAAUUGAAAGAACAUAUGGCAGUGCUACUAUUAGAAUUUAGAAGAAAUCAAAUACUUGUACAUACUCUUCCAGACUUCCGAGUAAACUAUAAUGGAUUACCUAAACACAAUUAUGACAAUUCCAAAAUGAAUUACUGUAACAUACAAGAUCAUUUAUAUUUCAUAGGGUGCGUGCAAACAGACCUUCAAUUGCAUGUAGAAUAUGUCACAUCGUACUAGAUAAAUUCAGUAACCUACUUAUCUAAACUGUAUAUUUAAACUAUAGUAUAAUUUACGAAUUUAAGAGAUUUAGAUACGACAAUCCAAUCUUGUGUUUGUUAAUUUUUAACUGAAAGUUAGAAAGGUAAAUGUUGAUUGAGCAAUUAUUCAGUGGCUUAUAAUUUUAACUACUGUAUGUGUUAAAUGUGGAAAUUCCAAAAUGUGCAUCUGGUAGUUACAUUCCGGAGGUGCAAAAUGUGGAAAAUUAAAUUGCACUACCGGAUUUUAUGUACCGAAGGUUCUAGUUUUUAAUUAUAAAGGUUAAUUUUGUAUUUUUAGGGGGCCUAAAGAGAUAUUGGAGGAGCCUAAAAAGCAAUCCUAUUUUGUUUAUAUGUACUUAUACAUAAGUCAAAUGAGGCUUGUGAUCACGUAAACCCAUUGUAUCCAAAUUAUAUAGGCCCAACCCAUUGUAACCCUAAAUUCAUAUAUUGUCUCUUGUCUCUCAUUCUAUAUAAACAUCGGCGCCUCCUCAUUUCUCCUUCAUCUUUUCUUAUAUUUAUAUAGAGUAUUUGUUCUUUAUUUCUCCAUGUUUUCUCCAUUUUAUUUGUUUUUUCUCACACUGUCACAGUUUUUUUUCCUGUUUCCAUGGAUUCACUAUUUACUAAUUAUUUUUGUAUAGUCAUAAUACCUCUUUAGGUCAAUCAAUGAUUUUGCUUAUGUGAUUCCUCCAAAUAACUAAAUUGUGUAAAUUCAAUCUAGUUUUAAUUUGAUCUAAUGAUGUCAACUCUUGUCUAAUAGAAUUCUCGAUCUGAUAGCAUGAUCAAUUUGCAUAUGUUCAUUGUGUGGUCAAAUUGGUUUGAAUAAUCGAUCUGGUCUAGGUUUUAUAACAUUGAAUAUAGGUGAAUGUGAUGAUUGCAACGAAGAUGUACUUAUAAUCAUAAUCAUAUAUAUCAAAAAAUAAAAUCAACGAAGUACUUAAGGUACGUCAAUACGAAUCCACGACCUGAUUUUUAUUUUUAUUUAUCAUACAUACCAAUAUGAAUAUCUUAAUUUAUCCUUAGUAUGGAUCAUUUAUGUUAGAAUAAUAUAUUUUUUUAUUCAUACUCGUUAUUAUCCUUAUUAAUGAAUAAUUUUGCUGCCAUUGUUUCUACAAGAGCAUGACCAUGUUGGCGAAACGACAAAAACAGAGGGAGGCCCGUUCGUCGUGAACAGAUAUUCGUGGAUCGAAGUGGAGCGAUGUGAGGGAUAUGUGGAGUGGUUCCCAUCUUUUGGAGAGAAUAGUUGUGGAGAAAGCAAGUUUUGUUUGGAGAAAGGAGAGUAUAUGAGACAAUAUCUCAUCAGGUAAGGUGAUGAUAAUAUUAAUGGUUGUUGAAGUCUCCAUUAUCGGUGAUUAUUUGCUAUGUAAAUGAAUUAUAUUUUAUUUUGGUCUAAGCAGAAUUGUUUUGGACAAUCAAAAAAAUUGUUUUGGACUGACUACUAGCUAGAUAAAUUACAACUUUUAAUUUCGGAAAAUCUAUAAUUUGGGCAUGUUUGCAAUUAAACUAGCUACUAGAGUAUAAGUAACAUUUUUAUUUUGACGACGUGUAUAUUAUAUUAUUUUUUUUUAGAUUAUAUCUUUUUUAAAAAAAAGAUAUAAUCUACACGUCAUAAAAAAAUUUACUUAUACUCUAACAACUAAUUAAGUUUAGCUACAAACUUCACAGAAAUACAAAUUGUCCGAAACAAAAAAAUGUACUUUAUCUAGCCGCCAAUCCAAAAUAUUUUUUUUUGUCAUUGGCCAAAACAAUUCCACGCAAACAAAAUCAAAAUCUAAUUCAUUUAUAUAUCAACUCAUCAUCGAUUAUGGAUUAUCAAUCACCUUUUAAUAUUAUUAGCAUGUUACCUGAUGAGGUGUUGUCUCAUAUUCUCUCUUUUCUCCCAACCAAACUUGCUUUCUCCGUAGCUAUUCUCUCCAAAAGAUGAGAACGGAUCACCAACAUCGACCAUGAAGACGAAUGGGUCUUCCACCACUUUUUUCAUUUUGUUGACACAAUCAUGGUCUAAUAGAAACAAUUUGUCUGCAAAGUUAUUCAUUACUAAGGAUAAGAAUUAACUAAGAAUAUAUUUUUAUCCCUUACUCAAUAUUAUUUAUUUGUUAUAUGUUUAGAUUCUUCUAGACGUGCCUUUAAAUUGAUGCAGGCAAAGAAAACAAUUGAGCUUUGUACUACAUCUUGAGCUUAUUCAAAUCAAUAUCGAGUUUUAAAAAAAUAGCCCACCCUAUGAAAGCCAUAUGAAAACAUGAGUUCAUACAUACUUGAUGAACACUUUAACAUAAAAUUAAAAUAUAUUUUAUGUACUUUAACUUUUAUUAUUAUUAUUAUUCUUAUUAUUAUUAUUAUUAUUAUUAUUAUUAUUAUUAUUAUUAUUAUUAUUAUUAUUAUUAUUAUUAUUAUUAUUUUUAUUAUUAUUAUUAUUACUAUUAUUGUUAUUAUAUUUUUUUUUUCAUUUUUAUUUAUGUCAUUGUAUGCCUAUCCCUUGAGACUUGAGAAAUAAGGAGAGGAAGAUCUUAUCCUAUUAUUAUUCAAGAAAGACAUUCAAGAGUAUCAAAUAGAGAUCAAGAAGAUGUAUUCAAGAGAUAAGUUUUCUCACCCUUUUUUUUAUCUUUAAAUUAUAUAUAAUGUAUUCAAGAGUAUCAACAAGAUGUAUUCAUGACAAAAUGCACUAUAUGAUUAUGAUUUUUCGCUCUUGCCAUGAUGUGCAAUUUAUUCUUUUUUUUUUUUUUGGUAGAUAAUGUGCAAUUUAUUCUAAUAUAUGACAUUAGCAUAUUUCAUUUAUUUCCUACAUGUGGUAUCAGAGCCAUAGGUCUGUGAUUUAGGAUCCAUUUAUUAUUUGAACAAAUUAUGUUAUGGUGAAAUUCAUGUAAUAGGACUUUCGUAUCCAUGCAUGGAUUUAGACGAUUUUGUUUAAAUUAUUUUAACACAUAUUGAAUGCUAUAUCAUGUUGAAAUUAUAAGAUUUUUAUGGGUCAGUGAAAAUGAUAAUAAGUAAUGAAUUCAUAAACUUAUUUUAAUUGAAGAAGUUUGCAUGUUAGUUUGAGACUUUGGAGUUUAUUUCUCCUCAAGGUAUAGGUUCGAUCAUCUCUAGUGUGUUAAUUUGGGUGGCCUAAUUUACUUUCUUAAAAAAUAAUAUAACUUUUGUACACAUUUUCACCUUGAGGUUCUUUAUAAUCCAUUGCUUUCAUGUGUUACUUGGGCAUAGAAAUGGGCAUAAUGUUUUCAAUCCCAUAAAUCACUUACAGCAAAGGGAAUUUUACAUCAAUUGUGUAUAGAAAGAUGAAUCAAGGUAUUUCUAGACCAGCUUCAAAAUUUUCCUAAUGCCACAUGUCCAAUCAAUUUAAUUUUCUUCAUCAUUUGACAUGUUUGCCAAUGGUUGGCGACUCGAUCGGUAGGAGUUUAAUAUAGUUUAAGUUCCCAUUAUUUCUCAAAAGCCAUAGCAUCUGAAUCAUUAACCGACAUAUGUUCUGUUUGAUAAAAAUAGCAUAUAGUUUUUAAGCUAGGCAUAUAGCUUAUAGCGGAUGACUGAUAGCUGAUAAGCUAAUUGACUGUUUGGUAAAAUUAGUGGUUUAACUAGUUGAUAAACGUAAAAUGACAUAAAAAGAUAUUCUUAACUCACUAAAAAAAAUUUCAACUAAUAAUUAAAAAUUUAGCAAUUUAAUUUUAUUGAUUUGAUAUAUCUUGUAUAUUAUUAUUAUUAUUAUUAUUAUUAUUAUUAUUAUUAUUAUUAUUAUUAUUAUUAUUAUUAUUAUUAUUAUUAUUAUUAUUAUUAUUAUUAAAUUAAUUGUAUUACCUAAAAAGUUAUUUUACUUUUAUUUUCAAUUUUCUGUAUCCAUAUUUUAUAAAUAAUUAAACGUAGCAAUAAAAUAUACUCAACACAUAAUAAUAAUCUUUGACAUAUAGUUUUUAAAAAUAAAUAAUAGUGAACUUUUUUUAAUACAAAAAUAAUUUAAAAUUUAUUAAUAAAUGGUUAUAUUAGUUUAAUUAUUAUUUUUGAAUAAUUAUCUUUUGAAGGGAAAAAAAUCGGUGAUAUUAAAAUUUAAAAGAGUCAAAUGAACUACAAUUAAUUUAUUAGUAAUAAUAAUAUACAAGAUAUAUCAAAUUAAUAAAAUUAAAUUGCUAAAUUUUAAAUAUUUAAAUAUCAAUUGAGAAAAAAUUUAGUGUGAAUUAAAACUGUUCUUUUAUGUCAUUUUCCAUUUAUCAGCUAGUUAAACCGCUAAUUUUAGCAAACAGUUCAAUUAGCUUAUCAACUAUCAGCCAUCCGCUAUAAGCUGAUUUAUCAUCUAUCUACUAUUUUUACCAAACUAAGCAUAUGCCUGUUGACGAUUCAGAUGUUAUGGCUUUUGAGAAAUAAUGGGAACUUAAACUAUCUUCGUCUUUAGGCUCUAUUUGGUUUAUCAAAGAAAGUUAAAGGAAAGAAAGUGAAAGGAUAGAUAGUAGAAGGAAAGAAUGGUUGAAGAAAGUGAGAUGAUUAUUUUAGUUGUUUGGUAUAAAAGAAAGUGAAUAGAUUGUGAGAGGAAAGAAAAAUAUAUAUUUGCAAAAUGACUAUUAUAACCUUAAAAUGUUCUAGCUAAAUGUGUUUAUUUUAAAUUGAAAUUAAUUAUGCUAUCCACACAUUUAAAUAUAUUUAAUCAAUAAUUUUUAAUUUACCUAUCAUUUGUUAAAUUUUUUGUUCAAAACAUCACACCAGGAUUGAUAAAAAAAAUAACAUCACGCUGAGUGCUAAACAAUUUAGAAGCAUGCUUGUUCAACAUAGUAAUACAAUUAUUAUAGCAAGGGUAUUAUUGACUUUUUCCUCUAAAAGUUGAUGCUUCUUCAACUUUCCGUCCAAAAUAGUGAGGAAAGGUUUUGGGUGUGGGUCCCACCUCAAAACUUUCUUUCCACAUCUUUUUGAAGUGUUGCCAAAGGGUGGAAAAUCAAUCUUUCCACACACUUUCUUACCUUCUUCUAUCUUUCCUUAGUUUUUCUUUAGAUCCAAACAAAGCCUUAAUGUUUUGGUAAAAAAAAAAAACCUUAUCAACAUUUUCAAGAUUUCUUAAAUAGAAUAUAAAAUCUAUUUAAUAAACAUCCUUCAAAGUCAUCAUUAAUUUUACAGCGGAAAAUUUGCAUCAAAACAACAACAGCAACUGUUUAAAUCUCCAUAAUUAAAUCUUGGCAUAAAAACCUUAUCAACAUAAAUUCAACAACCAUAGGACUACGUCAGCAAUAUUCAAAAAUUGAUAUAUAGGAAUGAAAAACAAUAAGAAAAUCCCAUCCCGUACGUAUCAGAGCCCUAAGACACUUGAGCCACCACUCCUACUAAUCUUUAUUACCUGCAAGUUACCCAUACGAAGGGCAACAUUUCCAAGCAGAAGGGGUGAGAUUUCACAAACAAUAAUAAUAAGCAUAUAAUUCAUCAAAUGCAUCUAACAACUUAAACUCCAUCAUAUCAACAGUCAUAACUCGAUAUCAUAAACAACAUCAUAACAGCAUCAUUAAUUCGUAUUAACAUUCUCCACCAAGCACCUCAUUAACAACUCAUGAAUAGAGGACAACUUAGCAACUAUACGUAACAUCAUCAUUUCAUAAUAAUAAUUAUUCAUCAAACAUUCCAUUAACAAUUCAUGAAUAAAAGACAACUUAUCAACUUAACAUAACCCUCAUCAAGUACAUUUAACAACUCAUGGGUAACCUCAUGUAAUAUCAUAACAACCCCACAUUCAACAUCAUAAAAGAUCAUCAUAACCUCGUCAUACUCAUCAACAUAAACAACGUAAGAGUACACCACCUCUUAUAACAGACAAUCAAAGUAAGAGUACACCACCUCUUAGAAAAACAAUAAAGUAAGAGUACACCACCUCUUAUAACAACGACAAGUAAGAGUACACCACCUCUUAGAAAGACAAUAAAGUAAGAGUACACCACCUCUUAUAACAACGACAAGUAAGAGUACACCACCUCUUAGAAAGACAAUAAAGUAAGAGUACACCACCUCUUAUAAAGACAACGAGUAAGAGUACACCACCUCUUAUAAAGACGACAAGUAAGAGUACACCACCUCUUAUAAAAGCGACAAGUAAGAGUACACCACCUCUUAUAAAGACGACACGUAAGAGUACACCACCUCUUAUAAAGACGACACGUAAGAGUACACCACCUCUUAUAGAAACAUCUAACAUGAUCAAUCAUCAACAACAGAUACAACUACAACUUCAACAACAACACCAACGAUGAUAACAACAUCGACAAUUUGCAUAAUUUACUUAUGACUCAUUCGGCAACGUACAACCCAGCACACUUACAAUUUAAACCAACAUUCACAUCUUAAUUAAGAUCCAACAGCAACACUAGUAGCACAUAGACAUCCCAAAAUAUGACAAUACCAAAUGAUAAUCAACACUACUUAAACAUCAUACAUUUUCCACAUAAGGCAUAUAGUUAUUUCACAUAACCAACAACAUUAAUCAUCUUAAUUUCAGACUCUCUGAAGAACAUUAAUAUUAUAAACAACUUCGUUUCUACCCCAAGGACCAACUCACAACUUAGGUUAAAUACUCUUAAACACCUUAAUUAAACCCCUAGUACUUCUAGUUUUGAGGUUUGGAAUUAUUCCCUAAGUUUUGGAUUAACUUAGAAACGGUUUUGCUGAAUUUUCAUAAAAUUUCACUAAGACCUCCUUGGAGUAUUUUCAUCAUAACUCCUAAACCAAAAAUCAUUUUCACGCCAAACUAGAGUCAUUGGAAAGCUAACAAAAUUAUCUACAACUUUCAUGUUUACACCAAAGGCCAAUUCAAAACAGAAACGUGUGAAAAAGACGCAAGAACGCGAAAUAGGGGAUGCUGUCAAAGUGCAGCUCGCGAGGCGAGUAAGUUUACUCGCUGUGGCGAGUUGCGACAGACAACUCUACGGGAACAGACCAGUUUCCAGCCAAAAACCCAAUUUUUCAUCCACCCAAACCCCAAAUUUGAUAGGAAACUUAACCUAUGAUUAUUCUACAACCUGAACAUCAAUUCUUAACACAAUUUCGAUGGUUUCUACACUUUUCAAUUCAAAAAUCAAUAAUCAAAACCUAAUCCCAAUUAUCCAACCUAAGAACAACAAAAUGUUAAAUCACAAAUUCAGAAUUUAUACACUAUGAUUACUGAAUGUUAGGUUUACCCCUACCUUAGAUCGAUGAACAAAGCUCUACAGAAUCUGAUUCUCCCCACUUGGCUCUUCUCUUGGUUUUUCUCCCAAAACUCUGUUGUACGUGAAAACUGUUUCUCUGACUGAUAGUUUCCAUUUUCUAAUAAUUCAGUAAAACAUAACCUCCCACUUAAUUUCUAUUAAUUAAAAUAAAACCCCCAAGACUCCAAUUAAUUCUAUUUCUCACAUUAUUCUAAAUUCCCACUUAUUCUAUUAAAUAGUAAAAUAACUCAUUUAAUAAAAUAUAACACACCGCAUAAUCAACAUAAUUAUAUAAAAUCAUAUAUAUAAAAAGACUUUAAAUCAACCAAUAAUAAUUAAAUAAAAUUGGGGCGUUACAAGGGGGACCAAAAUAGCCGAUUUGUUAAAAGAGGGAGACUAAAAUUGCACUUAAGCCUAACUAUUAAUACAGAUAAAAAAUUGAUUUUGGUGUAGCCUUUUUCCAUUUCAAAACUACCAUUCACCCAUAUGACACAACUAAAAGUAACUUCCAGUCAAAAUAGACAAUUUAGCAGGUUUGUUUAAAUUUACAACCUCUUGUUUAAAAAAGAGUAAGGUUAAUCAUUAUCGUUCUUUUUUUUCUUCUUCAUUACGGAAAAGGGCAACCCAUCUUCUUGAUUGUUUAUUUAUGUACUAAUGUUUAUGUUCUUUCUCUUUGAUAGGAUUAGUGCAUGGUCUGUAAAAAAAAAAAGGAAUAAUGCAUGGUUUGUCAAAAUUGAAAGAGAGGUAACUGCUACAUAUGGUGAUGAGUGAAGAUAUUUGAUGAUCAUAAAAUAAUUCUACUGCUAAUUCUUCUUGGUCUUUUAGAAAUGGAGAAACAUUCAACAAACAUACUUGAAAGUGAGAUGUUUAAUUUAUGUUUCAAAAUAGAUUUGUUGGUACAAGAGAUUCAAAUGAAUAAUUGGAGUCCGUUGCAUGAGAUUAAUUGUGUAUAUGUUUGAGAGUAGGGGUGGCAAGACGGAUCCAACCUGUUGGGCCGGCCCAUUUAGUCCGUUAUUUUUGGUGGGCUGAGUCGAGGUUUUGAACUCGCUUCCUAUAGUUGGCUCGCUCCGUUUAACUUGUCGGAAAAACGGGGCGGGUCGGGGUGGGACGGGCCGGUCCUCUUAACUCGUUUUUCUUUCUUUUGUAGACUUAUUUUAUCCUUUUGGAUAUAUUUUGGUUGUUGAAUUUAUUUUAAGAUUUGUUUUAUGUUGCAAAUUUAUAUUAUGUUGGUGGAUUUUUCUUAUUUUGCUAUUAAGUAUAACGUUUAAUUUGACAAUUUAUUUUUGAAUUAUCUUAGUUUUUACCACAAAUUUAUUUGAUGUUAUUCUUUUAUAUUUUUUUAGGAUAAAAACAACAUAGUUAUUUUUAUUUUUAUUUUUUUUGUAACAAGUAUGUUGUAGAAAAAAUGCAUUAAAAAAACUUGUUUUUUUCCUCUAAAAAAGAUAAGUUUUUUGUUUGGCGGGCCGCCCGCCAACUCACGUGUCCGCCUCUAAAUGAGAUGGGAUGAGAUAUUAGACUCGAUCACUUAAUUUGACUCAGUUCAUCUCGUCCAAUUUUAAGAGGGCUUAGGCGGGGCUGGGCGGCCCGUUUUGCCAUUCUUAUUUCAGAGAAUAAAUUGGUAAAAGAAAAUAAUAAUGAGAUUGACAAUGAAUAGAUAAAUUUUAUUCCUUCAAAAAAAAGAAUAGAUAAAUUUUAUUAUUUAUUUUACUACAAUAUUUUACUAGAUAAAGUGGAUCAUGUCCAUCUGAAUGGUAGUUAUUAAUUAAAAAAAUAGAUAAAUUUUAUUAUAAUAUUUUACUGCAAUAGGAAUAAUAUUAUCUUAAAAAUAUAUAAAAUAAAUAGGAGAUUUUGAGUUGGAUUUUUCAUUAUUUCAAUUACACCUUUAAACAAAUUUUUCUAUAAUAAUAUUAGAAAAUUGUUGUUGACACAUAUGAUAAGGCUGAGACACCCAACUAAAAUACGUUUUUGUCCCCUCGGCAGUUAACUGCCGAGAAAUUCCAAAACCGGCUGCAGUUAAAUGCCGAGGAAAACCUCGGUAGUUAACUGCCGAGAAAAACUGGUUAUGCAGACAGUGGAUUCUGCAUAAUUCUAAAGCAUUUCCAAGCCAUUUUUCGACCAGAUUUUACCUGUAAUUAAACCAGAGCAUUUCCAAAGGCAAUAUAACUUAUACAACAUUUAAACUCAGUCAUAAACAAGUAAAAUACAAUAUUUUUUACAAUUGUUCAUAAUUAAAUCAAACCGACAUUUGGUUCAAAAUACACAAAAGUUUGAAAUUCAUCAAAAUGUUACAUAGUGUCCAUAAUUAAACAACACAUUACACAUCAUUAAAUUAAAUCCCUACUUACAUUCAACGCAAUUGCAUAUAGAACGAACAUACAUAUAUAAUAUAUUAUCUUACACCAUAUUCCGAAACAUAAAUCCAACGUCGCUAUCGUCGUGAAUAAGCCAAGGCAUAUAGCUUGCCGUUUUCCAUGCGUAUUCAUCUCUAGCUUCUCCUAGGUCUAUGAUGCAUGACAUUGGACCAAACAAGUGAUGUGUAUAUUGAUUUUCACCAAGAUGCUCAAAAUAAGUGUUAAGUUGUGCAUUCAAAUCAUCAAGAGAGUUGGUCGACGUUAUCAUAACCUUAAUUGUCUUUUUAAAAGCGGAGUACCUAACACGACCUUCGAUAUUUGCAACCUCGGACAUGUUUCACUUGACAAAAGCUUUAAGGAAAAAAAUCAUACAUUAGAGUAAAAUUAAAUGAAAUGUAAUAACGAAUAAAUCAAAUGCGUAAACAUUAAUAAGCUAUAAAUAAGUAUUGCACUAGUUUCACCACAUAAAAGUCAUAUUAUCAUAUAUAUCAAUAUAAAUUACAAAAUGUUACUUAUAUAUUGGCCACAAAAAAUUGGAGUUACAAUUUCGACCCCAAAAUACACGUCGGUGUAAUUUCUACCAAAAAAAAGGACUAACACCGACAAAAAAAUCAUCACUCAUUAAAGACCAAGUGAUUGGAGAAGAUCAAGUGAAUUAGAAUCUUCCUCAUCUUCCGCAAUAACUUUAAAUUGUUGCUUUGGUUUUUCGAGAGUGUCCAACAAAAUAGGCGCCGUUUUGUUUGACUCUUUUUGUGGUUUCGGCGGUUUGUUUCCACUUUCAAUAGCCAUGAGCUUUCGAAACGACUCAUAUUGAUCUAAAUACUCAUCUUCCCAAGUCACCGCAUCUUCUUUCUUGUGGUUGUGCCACUCCGUAGAUGAUGGAGGUAGUGGACAACCAUUCUUCAAAUAAAUAAGCACGAAAUGAUUCGGAAUUACCCCAAGGCACAUGAUGGGAGUUUUUUACUUACCCGGUGGUGGUGGCCCUCUUAGUGGGAAAAAAGAUUCCGAGUUUCCAUCUUCAAGAUUUGUCAACAUGACCACACACCUUUUGUAGUAAUUAGCAACAAUGUGUCCCAUGUCCGAAAAAGUCAACCACUUAUCGACAAGAUGUGCACAACCUUUCAUGUUUGCGGGAGGAUGUAAACCAUUUAAAAUGUAGUUAUAACGAUUCUCACCCGCAAAUACUUCAACAUAAUCAUCUCUAUGAUCUUUCAACUCUUGAAUAAGAUGUGUACGAAUCAUGAUAUGAUUUUGUUCGUUCAAGCCCGUGAACUCGGCUAUAGUCCGGAAUCCACAAUGUCCAUCGCCUAAAACAUCCAUCAUUUUUUCAAUAAAUGGAAGCAUGAAGUGUGUCAUAUAAUCAAUAGGUCUCAUAACCGGGAUAACCUUAGGCUUUCGAUACUGAGAAGGUGGUGGAAGUGGGGAAAAUGAUGUUUUACCAAGACGAGCACCUUUUUUUAUUUUAUAUGAUGAUUUUGUUGGUGAUGGUGACGGUUGACAUCCGGAUUUUGGGAAUCAACAACCUCCCACGAAGAAGGGAUCCGACUAGUCGAUGUAAUUUUUUCUUUAGACCUCGCAAUGUCCACUUUUUUCUUGACUCCCUUGGUUGGUACUUUUCGUGGUGGUGGAGACAUCAUCGUGGUUUGAGGAAAUGGAAAUUGCCGCAAAACCUCUUUGACUUCAAGCUUCAUUUCGUAAGGGAGGUUCUUGAGACGUUGUUGAAUACCGUUCCAUUCUUCAUCGACAGAAAAACCAUGGGCAUUACUUUCUUUGCCAUACGUAACCUAUGCCAAUGGUGGUAUAUCUCAUCCAAUAAAAUUGGCUUAUCUUCCAGGAUUUUAGUAGCAAUUUCACAUGAACAUGGUAGCCCGUAAGAUGUCCUUUGAAAACAACCACAAAUUUCCUUGUCCAUCCACAAUGUUCCCCUACAACGUGACUCUUCCAAAGAAAUGUUGUCCAAAGCAUAUCUGGACACAUGACCACCUAACCCGGAGUACAAAGUGACAUCUUUGAACCUAUGUUCCAAUACGGUAACGCUCUGACCAAAGGUUGUUUGUAUCGCAUUGAACUGAAGCACCAACAUGUCAUGUAUUUUCUCCCAACAAGUACCCAAAUCACCCACAUUAUUGUCCAAAUAUUUCUUUCCUAAAGCAUGAGCCGAUUCUACCCUGUUGGUGGUUCUGCAGCCAAGAUGCAACACAUGGUAUGUCCAUGCCCUCACUAUUUUCUCUUUCACUUCUUUCAAGGUGGUCAUGGCAUAAUUUAGGAAAAGUGGGAAAUCACUACAUGCAUCUUGGAACUCCACUAAUGCAUUUGCAUAUAACUCUUGAGUGUGCGAUUCAACCAUAGCUUUCCAUGCCCUCAUUAUCUUCUUCACAACAUCGCGAGGUUUCACCUCUUUCCCAUCCUUUUUUCCCGAAGGAUAUUUACAAUCUAAGAUGCACCUUUGUUUAACAUUUUCUUGCACAUGAAAGCAACAAUUCAUUGCAUAACUUUCGGGGAAAACAUUUGCGACCGCUUUCAUCAAAGACAUAUCUUUGUCAGUCACAGUCACCCUAGGCAUAUUCAUCCUUGACGUAAGAAGUCUACGCAACAUUUUUAAAACCCAAACAAAGUUUUCCUCUUUCUCAUUUGUCACAAAUCCAAACCCAACCGAAUAUGUCAAAUCGGUCGAAGUGACCCGAACUACCUCAAACAUUGGCAUCUUGUACAUGUUGGUUUUGUAGGUGGAGUCCAUAACCAAAACCGUUGGAAAAUUGUUAAACAACUUAACGGAUGUUGGAUGAGCCCAAAAUAUAUCUUCGAUUGUAGUACUUUCACUUUGUGUUCUUGACAAAUAAGUAUAGUUGUGCUCCUCGAACUUCGAGAUUAGAUAUUGCAACGGCUUCUUGUCACCUCUAUUUGCCUUCCAUAUUUGUCUAUCAUUUUACGCUUGCUUGACCUUUGUCAUGCAAUGUGGUCUUUUGUUCUUCAAAUGUAUCAAAAUAUUUCUUGGAAGCAUCUUGCUCUUGGUCAAGUCAUGUACAAUCUUCUUGUCGUCCUCCUUUAAUCUAUCGGCAAGAAUGUGUCCUUCUAAAGCCAACUUCAUCGCCUGGUUGUGAACUUCAUUGAGAAUGUUCAAUCCCCAUUUGUGCUCCCCGAUUUUCGGAUAUCAAACCAUUGAUUGAUUUGAAUCGUCAAUCUUUGAACUCUCAAUUCUUUAUUCGUGGGAAGGGAAAAAAUGAGUAAAAACCCUUAUCGAGACUUUGGAUUCGGGUGUUGGUUUCGAAUAGGGAAGGUGUUAAGCACCCUAAACGACUUCGGUACUCCGAAGGAACCGCUUACCUAGAUUAUCUUGUGCUAAAUUCAUUUGGCUUACUUGAAAAAUUAUUACCUAAAAUCUAAGUGAAAGAAUGGAGGGAGAAGAAGUAUGUUUUUGGUUAUUUUUAUUUGAUUUGGAAGGACAAGUCCUCUGCCUACGUACCCUUUUUUGGGAAAGGGAUCAAAACCGACGUAGUUCCACUAAAAAAUUUCUUUGGUGGGUUAGGUUGAUUUUAAGAUUUUUGAAAAUGGUUUUAAGAAGAGAAAGAGACCUCAAGGCAUGAGAUAAAAGAAAUGAGUGAGGUUAAUUGAAAGUUUGAUUAAGAAAUAAAGGAAAAAAGUUAUUAAGAAAAUGAUUUUGAAGUUUUGCAUAUUUGAUUUUUUUGAGAAAAAUGAUUUUUCUAAACCAACGGUGAAAACUAACGUAACGUCGUAAAAGCGAACGGAAAGCGGUAAAUAAAUUGUGGUAGUGUCGGUGCAAGUGUCGGUGCUUGUGUUACCUACAUUAUUACAUCAAUUCCUAAAUACAACCCUAAGGCCUUUAUGCCAAAAUAAAAAUGCAAGAAAUAAAAUUACAUCAAUUCCCUAUUUAUACACACUAAAUCAAUGACAAAACAAAAUGAUGAGAAAAUUAAAUGUACAUGCUAUGAUUCAAGACAAAAAUUAAAUCGUUAGUAACAUAAGAAAUAUCAUGGUGAAUGAGACAUAAGUAAUAAAAAGCAAGGAAUUAAGCCAAGCAACAAUUAAGAUCAUCAUAUAAGAAAUAAACAAAAAAAUUUAAAAGAAAACAAAUAGGAUAGAUUUUUAAAAAUUAGAGAAAAUUAAAAUGGUGAGAACAAUAUUUUUGGAAUUUUUUCUAAACACAAAAAUGUCAAAAAAGUGUAAAAAACAGUAUUUAAAAAUAAAGACAAUUAAAAAUAAGAAAUAAAAAAAUAUUGGCUCAGCAGGAUCUAAUAUGGACUGUUGGAUGAAUCCAGAGGUCCAGAUAUGAAUCCCAAGAUCUCAUCACAGCCAUAGGAUCUAAGAUCCAACGGUUUUAAAAAUAAACAGAAAAAAAGGAAGGAUAUACUGGAAGCACAGUGACCGUCAGAUCAACGAUCUGACGGUUCAACAGCAGGCACGCAGUAUUCCACACAAAAGAAACAAACACUCAACCACAUACGAGAUGCAUCAUCGGCCGUUAGAUCUACGAUAUGACGGCCUAGCUAUAAUCAUACACGAUAAUAUGAUGGAACAACACACAUGGAAUUAAAAUAAAAUGAUGAGGCUAUAUAAAGUGGUUUCACCAAAAAAACAACAUAAAUCAAACAAUCCUUCUCUCUCUAAGUUAAACUUAGAGAGAGAAGCUCUCCCUUCUCUCUAAAAAACGUCACCGGAGAAGAUGAGGAGGGGUGGCCGGAGCUGCUCCGGCGCGGUGGUCGGCCAUAGCGCCGCCGCGUCAGAGUCUUUUUUUUUUAUUAUUUUUUUGAAAUUUUUUUACAUCAAAAGCUUCUUCUCCUUCUCCUCUAUACAAAUCCGGUGUUAUUUUUAAAAAGGCUAGAGAGAUUUGAGCUAGAUCUAGCAAAGAAAGUUUGAGUGAAAUUACCUUCGGUUUCAAAACGGAGAAGACCGGAUCUACUACUUUAAGCUCGAAUUCACUUCCUUCUUGCUAAAUUCCUCCGAUCUAGCUCGAAUCCGAUCCGAUUUGCUUCCCUUUUUGCUCCGGUUCGGUUCGUUUCUUUUACCUCUCCUUGAUCUUGCUCGAUCCGAGUUGUUGUUGAUAUGAGGAACAGAUUCGUUCUUCUUCUCUUCCAGUUCGGUUUCGAUUUGUUUGUGUUAUGUGUCGAUUUGAGUUGGUUUUGUGGAUUUGUGGUGUUUAUGUUGAUUUCUGGAAAAAAAAAAUUUAUGAGGACUAUUCAUGAAUAUUCAUGAGUGUUGUUGGUGAUGUUCAUAUUUUUUGUGAUUUUUGGUAUUUGAUCCGUAUUUGGAAUGAGAGAGAAAUGGGAAAGUGUUUGUAUUGAUUUGAGGGACUGAUUUGACUCCGAUUCUGACGCGGCUAUAGUGAAUUUUCAGACCCUCUUCCCAAUGAUUGGACAGUGUAUUUAUAGUGACAAAAUAGGGUUGGCUCCGGUACAUAUCAAAGACCAAAAUACCCCUGUUGGAGACUUGGGGAUAAAGACUUAACAAAUAAAAAUAAUAAGAAAAAAAAAGAAAAGAGGAAAGAAGAAAGAAAGUUACGUGAGUGACUUUCCUUUCUUUGUUUUUUUUUAAAAAAAAAAUUAAUAAAAUAAAAUAAUAUUAAACAAAAAAAAGAAAAAUAAAAAAUAACAAAUAAAAUAAAAAUAAAAUAUUAAUUAAUAAUAAAAAAAAAGUCCCUUCGAAAUCUCACAUGAGGUACUUCAAAGUAUCCUCCCUGCUGAAAUUUUGUCUGAAAUGAUUAAAAAAAACGCGACUUUUAAAAUACAGUUAGACCUUUUAAAAUGACUUGACUGUUAUGACUAAAACUUUUAAAUAUAAAAUGCGUCUAAAAGUUAUAAAAAAAAAACAGAUGAAGUGAUUUUAACUGUUGUAAAAAGCGAGCAGAGACUUAAAUGCAAGAUGACAGUUUUUUUUUUAAUAAUUAAAGACGACACAAAAACGAGUUUUAAAUGGUAAAAGAAACGGAUAAAAGAUUUCAAACGGGCCAAAUUUGGGGUAUGACAGAUGCCCCUAUUUAAGUUUCUUCGUCACGAAGGUUUUAAAAGGGAAAACUUUUAAACCACAGGGUCGAGGAGACUUAAAUAUAAACAAAACGCCAAUUUUGGACCGUUUGAAAUACCAGAGAUGCGAUGCUAAUGAAGGUGAUGAUAUGACCGAACAUGAUGCAAGCAUGAAUGUACAGUUGAUGCCUAAAGACUGACUAGGGAACAAAAGGAUAGGUAUCACUAGGGAAGGAAAUGAUAGAUAAUGCUUAUGAUUGCUGUGAGAUAGCUUGAAACGACUGGAGUAUAAAUGAUAAUGUUUGUUAAUAUUGCUUCAAGGUAAAGGUAAGGACAUGAUUAGCCGACGAGUGGCGAAAGUAAAGACAUGAUUAGCCGACGAGUGGCGAAAGUAAAGACAUGAUUUGCCGACGAGUGGCGAAAGUAAAGACAUGAUUGGCCGACGAGUGGCGAAAGUAAAGACAUGAUUUGCCGACGAGUGGCGAAAAUAAAGACAUGAUUUGCCGACGAGUGGCGAAAGUAAAGACAAGACGGACCGACAGGGUUUGCUAACAUUGUGGGAUAGCAAACAUACGGUAAAAGUGAAGACAUUGUAAAGCUUGGUAUCAGGGGAGUGACUUGAUAAAGAUAAAGUUGAGGGGAACAGGGAAUUUGUCUGAAGACAAUGGGGAAUUAUAUAGACUGAUUACUGGUGAGACCUGCCAUUUUGGAACACGUUUGAUUUGCUGACAUUUUGGAGUUAGACACACUAGGGGUGAUAUCUGAGGAUAUUGAAAUAAGCCAUUGGGUAAAAAUGCAACUAUGUAUGGAUGAUAUUUAUAUGCGUGUUAUGUAUGCAUGAAUGAAUGAAUAUGUAUGAGACUCAUAUAACGGUAUAAUGGUAAGAUUGUUGAGACAGGACUGGGCAGGUCUACAAGGAGAAUGGCCCGGCAUCACUGUACGAACACUCAAAGCCUUCAUUGGGGAUAAAGUCACGGGGGAUGAAUCAACUAUUGUUAGGGUACAACCCUUAAACAUACUGCUGGGGUAAGUCCUCACAAACUGGGGUAGAAGUCGCCAUUUCAUCAAUGCAACACCGUAUUUUCAAGCUUGAAUAGUCAUUGCCUUUUGUAUAUAUAUUUGAAAUCCCUAACUUUUGCCUGGAUCGUCCUUUCGGAUUUUCGAUCCACCGGGGAGACAUUUUUCUUUUUGUAUGCCCCCUAAUUUUUACCUGGAUCGCCCUUUCGGGUUUUCGAUCCACCAGGGCGCUUUUUUUUUUUUUUUUUUUUGCAAUGACUAUUUCUUCUUUGUUGAACCUGCUUGUUUCGGACCAACUGUUGACACAUACUUAUGUGAUACAUUGUUUUUAAAGAUAAUAUGUUUGUCAUUUUUGUUUUUUUUUUUUGAAAGAAAACAUAAAAUCCUUAGAAAGGUUUUCAAAGUUUUCGCUUCAAGUACUAAUACUAAAAACGAAAGAAAGAUUUUUUUGCACAUAGAAUAAACAAGAAUUCCAACAAAGAGGCACAAGCUCAAAUUGAUUUAAUAGAAAUGGUAACCGGCCAAAGGCAUGGCACCACAGAUUACAAAGAGUUGGAAUAUGGUAAUUAUAUGGGACAGGUACAUUGAACACAAUAGCCGCUAUACUUCUUAACCACUUUGAAUUCCACAGUUUGGAUGCUUCAAUAUUAGAGAACUUCUGACAGUCAAGGUGUCUCGGGCGAGUGAUGUUUCAUCUGAUGCAGUUACUUGUCUCGAUCCUUAAUUUUUGCAUAGAUCGCCCUUGCGGGUUUUCGAUCUAUCAGGAUAUUAUUUUUUUUUUUUUGUUCUCUAAUUUUUGCCUGGACCGCCCUUUCGGGUUUUCGAUCCACCGAGACGCUCAUUUUUGGUUUAAGCCGCCCUUUCAGGUUUUCGACCUACCGAGCUGUUCUUUUAUAUAUUUAGACAAAGUAUUUCUUGACUGCAUCAGAAUUCACAGGACGAGGUAACUCCUCUCCAUCCAUAUUUGUAAGAAUUAAAGCACCACCAGAGAAAGCUCUCUACACCACGUAGGGACCUUCAUAGUUUGGCGUCCAUUUUCCCCUAGGAUCUGGUUGAAAGGAUUUGAUACAUUUGACCACAAGAUCUCCUUCCUUGAAUUCACGGGGAUGGACUCCUUUAUCGAAUGCUUGUUUCAUCCUUGACUGAUAUAGCUGUCCAUAACACAAAGCAGCCAUACGUUUUUCCUCAAUCAAAUUCAACUGGUCGUACCUGCUCUGGCACCAUUCAGCUUCAGACAAUUCAGCUUCCAUCAAGACUCUUAAAGAAGGAAUCUCAACCUCUACAGGUAGUACAGCCUCCAUACCAUAAACCAAAGAGAAAGGGGUUGCCCCUGUCGAGGUUCGCACUGAGGUACGAUAUCCAUACAAAGCGUAGGGUAACAUUUCAUGCCAGUCCUUGUAAGUAACUACCAUCUUCUGUAUGAUCUUCUUGAUGUUCUUGUUUGCAGCUUCAACUGCCCCAUUCAUCUGUGGUCUAUAAGGAGAAGAAUUGUGAUGUUGAAUCUUGAAGUCAUCACACAACUCUUUCAUCAUGUUGUUAUUCAGAUUUGUGCCAUUGUCUGUGAUGAUUCUGUUGGGAACACCGUAGCGGCUGAUGAUGUUGUUCUUGAUAAAUCUGACCACUACCUGCUUGGUCACAUUGGCGUAAGAUGCUGCUUCAACCCACUUAGUGAAAUAAUCGAUAGCCACUAAUAUGAAGCGAUGCCCAUUGGAAGCUUUUGGUUCAAUCCGACCAAUCAUGUCAAUGCCCCACAUAGAGAAGGGCCACGGGGAAGAGAUGACAUUGAGCAUAGAUGGUGGUAUAUGAAUCUUGUCAGCAUAAAUUUGACAUUUGUGGCAUCUCUUGGUGUAACGCCCUAGUCGUCAUUUAUUUAUUUUAGAGUUAUUUAGAGUCUUUUAUGCAUUUUAUGAAAUUAUGUGUGACUUAUUUGGUGUGUUAUUUUAUUUAUAUGAUUUAAUUUAAUUUAAAUAGAAUAAAAUGAAUAAUAGAGUUAUUUAGGAGGUUAGGGAUUAAUUGGAAAUUAAUAGAAUUUAGGGGAGGUUUAAUGUAAUAAGAGGAGUUACACUUUAAGAAAGAAAAGAAAGGAAAAAGUGAGAAAACUGUUUUAACGUGAAAACAAGUGGGAGAAGAAAAAGCUAGGCAAAGGAGAAGACCAAGAGAGAAGAACCUAGGAAUUGUUUUGCUGUGCUUUUGUCUUUGCAAUUCAAAGGUAAGGGUGGGAUUAUCCUUCAGUAAUGAUAAUAUAUGAUUUCUGAAAAUUAAGCAAUUUAACUGUUUUAUGGUAAAAUUGGGAAAUUAGGGUUAAUGGCAUUUUUGAAGAAAAUAUGUAAGACUUAGGUUUAUAAUGUUGUAUUUGAUGAUUAAUAUGAUUUCCUACUCUGUAUUGUUGAUGUUGAUCAUAAUUGGAUGAAGGUAGAAUAUAAUGGAUGAAGUUUUGAAAGUUCUGAAUGAAUGUUUGAUUUGAAUGAAUUGUUGUUGUUGAUGUUGAAUUGCCGUUCUUUUGAUAGCUGGUUGUACAUAGGACUUGUAAACAUUUCAGGAAAACGUUUUGGGUGAAUUGGGGAUUAAAAUUGGGUUUUUGGAGUGAGGAGAAGUCUGAAAAUCGUAGCUUUUACCCUGCCCAGACGAUUGGUCGCUUAAGCGAAGUAUCCGUCGCUUAAGCGAACAUUCAUGUGAACUACCCAGAAUGUGAUUUUACCCGUUCGCCUAAGCGAACAGUGAGCGAACUGGUAAGCGAAAAUUAAGUUUGAUUCUGCCAAGAAUUCGCUUAAGCGAAUGGUAAGCGACCUUGUGAGCGAAAAACCAUUUUGAUUCUGUCCAAAGUUCGCUCAAGCGAACCGUGAGCGACCCGUAAGCGAACUGAACCCAGACCUACUGUAAGUUGGUCGCUUAAGCGAGCUAGCCGUCGCUUAAGCGAACUGAGUGUUAGUUAGCUUUUUCUGAACCUUGCUACAUACUGAGGGAUCCUUUUGAGUAUUUCUAGAUGUUCCUUACAGCUUGUAUAACUUUUGUAUAGACUUAAAGUCCUACUUAAAAUCAUGAUGAUAAUUAGUUGGUUAAUUUUAUGAAUUUGAAUGUUGGAAUGCUUGAAUCAAUUGGAUGAACAUGUUGCAUUGAAAAGGUGCGGAGUCGUAUGAGUACAUAUGCAUUUGUUGUUGAGUUGUAUGCAGAUAUACACAAGUGGAGUCAGUUGCAUAAGCAUAAAAACGAUGAGAACUUCGGUUCUGGAACGCUUUGUCGUUCAAAACGAUGGAACACGAUGUUGUUCAAAACGAUGUUAACGAUGAGGACUCAUGUCCUGAUAAAAGAAUGCUUUAACCAUUCUAUAACGAUGAGAGCUUCGGCUCUGAUAUGGUACCACAUGCAUAAUUGCAUUUGUUGAGGAGUCUUAGAAGGGUUGUCAUGUCUUGCAUGAGUCUUAGAAGUGAAGUCGAGUAGUCGCAUGAGUAUUGUUACUGUUGACAUUGUUGUGGGAUGAUGAAGUUGAUAAUAAAUGUUAUAUUAUGAUUGUUGAAUGAUUAUGAUGAUAGGGUGUUAGAUUCAUUAUGUUAUUAUAUAUUAUUAUUAUUGUUGGAGAAUCUCACCCCUUCUGCUUGAAAAUGUUGCCCUUCCUAUGGGUAACUUGCAGGUGAUCCUGAGUAGUAGGUGGUGGCUCACAAAGUCUAGGGCUCUGAUACAUGGGAUGGGGUUUUAUUAUUUGAAUUCUUUCCUAUGUAUCGAUUUUGAAUUAUAA
RNAcentral lists this long non-coding RNA (43971 nucleotides) under Medicago truncatula (barrel medic). RNAcentral describes it as "long non-coding RNA (MTRU_LNC004317)". The record is from RNAcentral. Lineage: Eukaryota; Viridiplantae; Streptophyta; Magnoliopsida; Fabales; Fabaceae.